RNAcentral lists this ribosomal RNA (253 nucleotides) under uncultured bacterium. Its description in RNAcentral is "partial 16S ribosomal RNA". It matches the Rfam family "Bacterial small subunit ribosomal RNA", at positions 524 to 776 of the family's 1533-position model. The record is from RNAcentral.
UACGAAGGGAGCUAGCGUUGUUCGGAAUCACUGGGCGUAAAGCGCACGUAGGCGGAUGUGUCAGUCAGGGGUGAAAUCCCGGGGCUCAACCUCGGAACUGCCUUUGAUACAGCACGUCUUGAGUCCGAUAGAGGUGGGUGGAAUUCCUAGUGUAGAGGUGAAAUUCGUAGAUAUUAGGAAGAACACCGGUGGCGAAGGCGGCCCACUGGAUCGGUACUGACGCUGAGGUGCGAAAGCGUGGGGAGCAAACAGG